UUGAUCCUGGCUCAGGACGAACGCUGGCGGCGUGCCUAACACAUGCAAGUCGAACGAAGUUACUUAGCGGAAAUUUUCGGAUGGAAGUUAAGUAUACUUAGUGGCGGACGGGUGAGUAACGCGUGGGCAACCUACCCAUAAGCGGGGGACAACAGUUGGAAACGACUGCUAAUACCGCAUAAACUAGUCGAGACACAUGUCUUAACUAGCAAAGAUGGCCUCUUAACAAAGCUAUCACUUAUGGAUGGGCCCGCGUCUGAUUAGCUAGUUGGUGGGGUAACGGCCUACCAAGGCAACGAUCAGUAGUCCGGCCUAAGAGGGGUGAACGGCCAUCACUGGGAUGAGACACCGGCCAGACUCCUACGGAGGCAGCAUGGGAAUAUUGCGCAAUGGGGGAACCCUGACGCAGCGACGCCGCGUGAGCGAUGAAGGCCUUCGGUCGUAAAGCUCUGUUGUAACGGGACGAGUGUUCCAUGUAGUAACUGACAUGGAAAUGACGGUACCUUACGAGGAAGCCCCGGCUAACUACGUGCCAGCAGCCGCGGUAAGACGUAGGGGGCGAGCGUUGUCCGGAAUUACUGGGCGUAAAGAGCACGUAGGCGGGUGUUUAAGUCAGGUGUGAAAGACCGCAGCUUAACUGCGGGAUUGCACUUGAAACUGGGCAUCUUGAGGGCAGGAGAGGACAGUAGAAUUCCUGGUGUAGCGGUGAAAUGCGUAGAAAUCAGGAGGAAUACCAGUGGCGAAGGCGACUGUCUGGACUGACCCUGACGCUGAGGUGCGAAAGCGUGGGUAGCAAACAGGAUUAGAUACCCUGGUAGUCCACGCUGUAAACGAUGGAUACUAGGUGUAGGAGGUAUCGACCCCUUCUGUGCCGCAGUUAACGCAAUAAGUAUCCCGCCUGGGGAGUACGGUCGCAAGGCUGAAACUCAAAGGGAAUUGACGGGGGCCCGCACAAGCGGUGGAGCAUGUGGUUUAAUUCGAUGCAACGCGAAGAACCUUACCAGGUCUUGACAUCCAACGAAUUUUGUGGAAACACAGAAGUGCCUUAGGGAGCGUUGAGACAGGUGGUGCAUGGUGUCGUCAGCUCGUGUCGUGAGAUGUUGGGUUAAGUCCCGCAACGAGCGCAACCCUUGCUAUUAGUUGCUAACAGAUAAUGCUGAGCACUCUAAUGGACCGCCUGUGUACAAGCAGGAGAAGGUGGGGAUGACGUCAAAGCAUCAUGCCCUUUAUGACCUGGGCUACACACGUGCUACAAUGGAUGGUACAGAGAGGAGCGAGGCCGCGAGGUAGAGCGAAUCUCAAAAAGCCAUUCUCAGUUCGGAUUGGAGUCUGCAACUCGACUCCAUGAAGUCGGAAUCGCUAGUAAUCGCGAAUCAGCAUGUCGCGGUGAAUGC
This 1394-nucleotide ribosomal RNA is filed under the name uncultured Syntrophomonas sp. Its description in RNAcentral is "bacterial SSU rRNA". It matches the Rfam family "Bacterial small subunit ribosomal RNA", at positions 13 to 1369 of the family's 1533-position model. Lineage: Bacteria; Bacillati; Bacillota; Clostridia; Eubacteriales; Syntrophomonadaceae. The record is from RNAcentral.